This 433-nucleotide ribosomal RNA is filed under the name uncultured bacterium. RNAcentral's name for it is "partial 16S ribosomal RNA". It matches the Rfam family "Bacterial small subunit ribosomal RNA", at positions 29 to 507 of the family's 1533-position model. The record is from RNAcentral.
AACGAACGCUGGCGGCAUGCCUAACACAUGCAAGUCGAACGAGACCUUCGGGCUUAGUGGCGCACGGGUGCGCAACGCGUGGGAACCUGCCCUUAGGUUCGGAAGAACUCCCCGAAAGGGGUGCUAAUACCGGAUAAUGUCUUCGGACCAAAGAUUUAUCGCCUUUGGAUGGGCCCGCGUUGGAUUAGCUAGUUGGUAGGGUAAAAGCCUACCAAGGCGACGAUGCAUAGCUGGUCUGAGAGGAUGAUCAGCGACACUGGGACUGGGACACGGCCCAGACUCCUAGGGGAGGGAGCAGUGGGGAAUAUAGGACAGUGGGCGAAAGGCUGAGCCAGCAAUGCCGGGUGAGUGAUGAAGGCCUUAGGGUUGUAAAGCUCUUUUACCCGGGAUGAUAAUGACAGUACCGGGAGAAUAAGCUCCGGCUAACUCCGUG